Molecule: ribosomal RNA, 464 nt
Filed under: uncultured bacterium
Lineage: Bacteria
Description: partial 16S ribosomal RNA
Rfam family: Bacterial small subunit ribosomal RNA
Source: RNAcentral
GACGAACGCUGGCGGCGUGCUUAACACAUGCAAGUCGAACGGAAAGGCCCCUUUGGGGGUACUCGAGUGGCGAACGGGUGAGUAGCACGUGAGUAACCUGCCCUUGACUUCGGGAUAACUUCAGGAAACUGGGGCUAAUACCGGAUAGGAAUCCUUGCUGCAUGGUGGGGGUUGGAAAGCUUCGGCGGUUUUGGAUGGACUCGCGGCUUAUCAGCUUGUUGGUGGGGUAGUGGCUUACCAAGGCUUUGACGGGUAGCCGGCCUGAGAGGGCGACCGGCCACAUUGGGACUGAGAUACGGCCCAGACUCCUACGGGAGGCAGCAGUGGGGAAUAUUGCACAAUGGGCGGAAGCCUGAUGCAGCAACGCCGCGUGCGGGAUGACGGCCUUCGGGUUGUAAACCGCUUUCAGCAGGGGCGAAGCUUUUGUGACGGUACCUGCAGAAGAAGCACCGGCUAACUACGUG